Molecule: long non-coding RNA, 1121 nt
Organism: Vitis vinifera (wine grape)
Lineage: Eukaryota; Viridiplantae; Streptophyta; Magnoliopsida; Vitales; Vitaceae
Exons: 2
Source: RefSeq, a predicted model, not a curated record
UCAAUAGGAAGCUUGUAUGAUGACUUCCUAAUUUUAUCACACUGGCCUUUGUCAAGUGCUCUUUCAUUUUUCAUUUUGCUUUUGCCUAAGUUUGGUUGGAGUUAUGAAGUGAGCGCUCAGAUACUUUGAAGCAGCUGGCACCCCUGCGGUACAAUAAUGUUGAUAUAUUUGUGUUUGUGACAUAAUUUUUAUUGGUAAAUUGCAAAUCUCAGUCUACACUAAUAAAAGAGCAAGUAAAUCUUUAAGAAGAUAUUAGUGUAACGAACCUCUGAUAUCAAUCUGCUUCUAAUGUGAUGAUCUUCUGGAAUGUCACUAGCUUGUCCUGUGGCUGUCUGGGAUUAUGAUGAGCCACCCUGAAUUGCUAGUUGUGUCCCUUUGCCAGAAAGAACUAUGCGACAUCCAACAAAGAACUGCUCCUUCUGCAGACCAAGAAAUUCGGUAACUACUGCUACCAUGUCCAGUGUUGAGACUAGAUGGAACCCAGUCAACCUUCAUUUGCUUCUAUAUAUAUAUAUAUAUUGGGCACCAUACUAGACCCAGCCCACACAUGGUAGUAGCAGGUAGCAGAUUUUCUUAGUUUAUGGGAGUAGUUCUUUGUCGGAUAUUGCAUGAUUCUCUCUGGCAAAGGAACACAACUCGCAGCUUAAGGCAGCUUGUCAUAAUCCUUGACAUAGCCCUGCGACAAGCUUGUGAUGUUCCAGAAGAUGAUCCUCAAAUUAGAAGUAGAUUGAUAUUUGAGGUUUGUUAGAUUAAUAUCUUCUUUAAACUUUACUGAUUUCUUUAGUUUGGCCUCAGAUUUGCAGUUCAGUACUUGUCACAAUUGUGUUAUAACAAGCUCAAAGACAACCUUUUCAACUUUUUUACAUCCUUCUUAGAUUUGAUAAAUUGUCCCAUCCAUCAUGUAAAUUGAACCUUCAAGUUUAACUAUUUGUAUUGAGAACAAAACUAGCCAUUUCAAUGCAUCAUCUUUCUUGCAUUCUGGCCUUAAUUAUGUUUUCAAGUACUAAUAGUAGUAGAUUAUGAACAGAAGAUAUGUUGUAGUGAAAAAGUUCAAUGAUGGUCCAUAUUGUAAGAUCUUCCUCAUGAAUUUAAAAGCUGGAGGUGUUGUUGUCAGUCUCCAA